Molecule: ribosomal RNA, 463 nt
Filed under: uncultured bacterium
Lineage: Bacteria
Description: partial 16S ribosomal RNA
Rfam family: Bacterial small subunit ribosomal RNA
Source: RNAcentral
GAUGAACGCUGACAGAAUGCUUAACACAUGCAAGUCGAUGGGGAAGUGGUGCUUGCACCAUGGUAACCAUGGCGGACGGGUGAGUAACACGUAAGGAACUUACCUGCGGGACCGGGAUAACAGCAGGAAACUGCUGACAAGACCGGAUAAGGUCAUUAAGCUGCAUAGCUUAGUGAUGAAAGGAGACGCCUGCGGAGAGCCUUGCGUCCUAUUAGCUAGUUGGAGGGGUAACGGCCCACCAAGGCGAAGAUAGGUAGCCGGCCUGAGAGGGUGGACGGCCACAAGGGGACUGAGAUACGGCCCUUACUCCUACGGGAGGCAGCAGUGGGGAAUAUCGGACAAUGGGGGCAACCCUGAUCCAGCAAUUCUGUGUGCACGAAGACGGUUUUCGGAUUGUAAAGUGCUUUCAGCAGGGAAGAAGGAAGUGACGGUACCUGCAGAAGAAGCGACGGCUAAAUACGUG